UACGUAGGGUCCGAGCGUUGUCCGGAAUUAUUGGGCGUAAAGGGCUCGUAGGCGGUUUGUCGCGUCGGGAGUGAAAACUCAGGGCUCAACCCUGAGCGUGCUUCCGAUACGGGCAGACUAGAGGUAUGCAGGGGAGAACGGAAUUCCUGGUGUAGCGGUGGAAUGCGCAGAUAUCAGGAGGAACACCGGUGGCGAAGGCGGUUCUCUGGGCAUUACCUGACGCUGAGGAGCGAAAGCGUGGGGAGCGAUCCGG
RNAcentral lists this ribosomal RNA (253 nucleotides) under uncultured bacterium. RNAcentral describes it as "partial 16S ribosomal RNA". It matches the Rfam family "Bacterial small subunit ribosomal RNA", at positions 524 to 776 of the family's 1533-position model. The record is from RNAcentral.